GAUGGGGGUGAAAUGCGAAAACACCAGUGUGCUUAGAUUUAGGUGCACGUUAAAGAACCCCAGGUGGUCAAAAUUUCCGGAGUCCUCCACUACGGUGUGCCUCAUAAUCAGAAAGUGGUUUUGGCACGUAAAACCCCAUAAUUAA
RNAcentral lists this long non-coding RNA (145 nucleotides) under Dermacentor andersoni. RNAcentral's name for it is "uncharacterized LOC126540593". The record is from RNAcentral. Lineage: Eukaryota; Metazoa; Arthropoda; Arachnida; Ixodida; Ixodidae.